RNAcentral lists this ribosomal RNA (518 nucleotides) under uncultured bacterium. RNAcentral describes it as "bacterial SSU rRNA". It matches the Rfam family "Bacterial small subunit ribosomal RNA", at positions 8 to 518 of the family's 1533-position model. The record is from RNAcentral.
AGAGUCUGAUCCUGGCUUAGGAUGAACGCUAGCUACAGGCUUAACACAUGCAAGUCGAGGGGCAGCAUUGGGGUAGCAAUACUCAGAUGGCGACCGGCGCACGGGUGAGUAACACGUAUCCAACCUGCCGCUUACUCGGGGAUAGCCUUUCGAAAGAAAGAUUAAUACCCGAUGGUAUAAAGAGUUCGCAUGUUCUCUUUAUUAAAGAAUUUCGGUAAGCGAUGGGGAUGCGUUCCAUUAGAUAGUUGGCGGGUAACGGCCCACCAAGUCUACGAUGGAUAGGGGUUCUGAGAGGAAGGUCCCCCACAUUGGAACUGAGACACGGUCCAAACUCCUACGGGAGGCAGCAGUGAGGAAUAUUGGUCAAUGGGCGAGAGCCUGAACCAGCCAAGUCGCGUGAAGGAAAAGAAGGAUCUAUGGUUCGUAAACUUCUUUUGCAGGGGAAUAAAGUGCAGGACGUGUCCUGUUUUGUAUGUACCCUGAGAAUAAGGAUCGGCUAACUCCGUGCCAGCAGCAGC